Non-coding RNA from Schistocerca cancellata (South American locust), 74 nucleotides. NCBI's taxonomy places the organism in Eukaryota, Metazoa, Arthropoda, Insecta, Orthoptera, Acrididae. The record is from the annotation of a RefSeq genome assembly.
GGCCCCGGUAGCUGAGCGGUCAAAGCGACGGAAUGUUAAUCCUAAGGGCCCGGGUUAGAUUCCCGGCUGGGUCG